UGGGGAAUAUUGGACAAUGGGCGCAAGCCUGAUCCAGCCAUGCCGCGUGUGUGAAGAAGGCCUUUUGGUUGUAAAGCACUUUAAGCGAGGAGGAGGCUACUUGGAUUAAUACUCUAGGAUAGUGGACGUUACUCGCAGAAUAAGCACCGGCUAACUCUGUGCCAGCAGCCGCGGUAAUACAGAGGGUGCGAGCGUUAAUCGGAUUUACUGGGCGUAAAGCGUGCGUAGGCGGCUUCUUAAGUCGGAUGUGAAAUCCCUGAGCUUAACUUAGGAAUUGCAUUCGAUACUGGGAAGCUAGAGUAUGGGAGAGGAUGGUAGAAUUCCAGGUGUAGCGGUGAAAUGCGUAGAGAUCUGAAGGAAUACCGAUGGCGAAGGCAGCCAUCUGGCCUAAUACUGACGCUGAGGUACGAAAGCAUGGGGAGCAAACAGG
RNAcentral lists this ribosomal RNA (430 nucleotides) under Acidobacteriota bacterium. RNAcentral describes it as "Acidobacteria bacterium partial 16S ribosomal RNA". It matches the Rfam family "Bacterial small subunit ribosomal RNA", at positions 355 to 776 of the family's 1533-position model. The record is from RNAcentral. Lineage: Bacteria; Pseudomonadati; Acidobacteriota.